AUGAUCGUGCGGACCCACGUGAAGGAGUUCUUUGAAGGGGUGAAAGCAAAGAGACAUCCACCUCCGGAGGAGAAGGUAGAUCCGGUGAAAGCAAAGCGCACUCUCGAUGCCCUGAGAAAACCGGCAAAGUCUCCGCCGAGAACCAACUAUGAGCGAAUUACUAAACAGACAUAUCUCCAAGCGGAGCGGUCGGGAAGUACUGUCAGACAUCUAAGGUCAAGAGAACGAGCAGCUGCGAAAAAAAUUGACCAGCUUGGCGAACAAGCAAACCAAUCGUGCCCCCCGCUCAAUGUGUCUAGCGGCAACAUCGUCGCUAAUGCUUCGGGGACGGUGGCCGGUUAUGGCAAUCUUGAAGAUUACCUGCCUGACGAUCAACUUCCUGAUUUCUUGGAGGUGGACGAACACAGAUACGAGUACGGGAAGCCUCUCGUCAAAGAUGAAAAAUCUCUGACAACAAUGAUGCGAAGAUUCCAUAGUUGGUACAUGAAAACCUGCAGAGAGUCUGAGGGGAUGAAUAGUUUGUAUCUGAACAUUAAAGAGGAGCACGACCUCGUUUCAAGUGAUCUGUUGUGUGUUCCAUUUGAUGAGUUCUUCGCGUUCUUCAAUCAAAAGGCCCUCGAUAAAUUAAUGGUCUUUUGCUACUGCCUGUAA
RNAcentral lists this ribosomal RNA (651 nucleotides) under Triticum aestivum (bread wheat). Its description in RNAcentral is "partial small subunit ribosomal RNA". The record is from RNAcentral. Lineage: Eukaryota; Viridiplantae; Streptophyta; Magnoliopsida; Poales; Poaceae.